AAGUCGUAACAAGGUAACCGUAGGUGAACCUGCGGUUGGAUCAUUACUGAUACUUGGUCUAUGAGUUGAUACCGAAAGGAGUCCUCAUAGCCAAAUUCACCUCUUGUGCACUAUAUUGUCUUUUGGUAGUUUAUACCUUGGUAUAGGCUGCCAAACUUUAUAACAAACCAUAUAAACUUGUCUGAAAUUAUAAUAAAAUAUAAACAACUUUUGACAACGGAUCUCUUGGCUCUCGCAUCGAUGAAGGC
RNAcentral lists this unclassified non-coding RNA (248 nucleotides) under fungal sp. RNAcentral describes it as "partial internal transcribed spacer region". The stretch from base 1 to 46 matches the Rfam family "Eukaryotic small subunit ribosomal RNA", at positions 1786 to 1831 of the family's 1831-position model. Lineage: Eukaryota; Fungi. The record is from RNAcentral.